CAGCCAACUACUAGCUAACCCUAAUAAUGUCCCUAAUUGGCUGCAGCUCAUCUGUCUUAACAGGCCUCGAACACUUCACUGCGCAGGUAUCCCACAGCGGCUAACCCACUACAUCUCCUGCGUCAGACUUCUCCCCGUAGAGAGAGACGCUGUCCCUACACUGUCCCUAUAUAGUAGUUUUAGUAGUUGUCUGUUUGAAGUGGUGGGACUGAAG
Non-coding RNA from Pelobates cultripes (western spadefoot toad), 214 nucleotides. The record is from the annotation of a GenBank genome assembly. Lineage: Eukaryota; Metazoa; Chordata; Amphibia; Anura; Pelobatidae.